Eriocheir sinensis (Chinese mitten crab) is the source of this 402-nucleotide long non-coding RNA. RefSeq lists it as uncharacterized. The transcript is spliced from 3 exons. The record is from RefSeq and is a predicted model, not a curated record. NCBI's taxonomy places the organism in Eukaryota, Metazoa, Arthropoda, Malacostraca, Decapoda, Varunidae.
UUUUUUUUUUUGUCUUUCCCCCUCCCAUUAUCGACUUCCCUGUGAGGUCACCAAGACAGCGGCCAGCCAGGGACGAGGACCACAAGAGGUGGAGGAGAAUGAGGAAGAGGAAGGACGGUGGAGAGGCGGAAGAAGAGUGGAGGAGGAGGCUGUGUGGAGUGGUGGUGUGCUGGAUGGAGACUUGACAACGGUAUCUGGUGUGCUGGAUGGAGCCUUGACAAUGGUAUCUGGUGUGCUGGAUGGAGCCUUGACAACAGUAUCUUCACACGCCUGCCAGAGGACAACCAAGAAAAGAAGAAAGAAGAAGAGAAGGAAAAAGACAGAAGAGAAAAAGGCUGUCACACAUACAGGAAUUGCAGCAUCAAGAGGAAAGAUUCAGGUUAUAUAUAAAUUUAAAAUGCA